UCUCCGUAGGUGAACCUGCGGAGGGAUCAUUACCGAGUGAGGGUCUCCGGGCCCGACCUCCAACCCUUUGUGAAUCGUACUCGUUGCUUCGGGGGCGACCCUGCCGUCCGCGGCUGAGCGCCCCCGGGGUCAAUCAAACACUGCAUUCUCUGCGUCGGAGUAUUAGUGAAUCUAAUCAAAACUUUCAACAACGGAUCUCUUGGCUCUCGCAUCGAUGAAGAACGCAGC
RNAcentral lists this unclassified non-coding RNA (228 nucleotides) under uncultured fungus. Its description in RNAcentral is "sequence contains ITS1, 5.8S rRNA gene". The stretch from base 180 to 228 matches the Rfam family "5.8S ribosomal RNA", at positions 1 to 49 of the family's 154-position model. Lineage: Eukaryota; Fungi. The record is from RNAcentral.